This 441-nucleotide ribosomal RNA is filed under the name uncultured bacterium. RNAcentral's name for it is "partial 16S ribosomal RNA". It matches the Rfam family "Bacterial small subunit ribosomal RNA", at positions 338 to 795 of the family's 1533-position model. The record is from RNAcentral.
CCUACGGGGGGCAGCAGUGGGGAAUAUUGGGCAAUGGGCGCAAGCCUGACCCAGCAACGCCGCGUGAAGGAAGAAGGCUUUCGGGUUGUAAACUUCUUUUGUCAGGGAAGAGUAGAAGACGGUACCUGAAGAAAAAGCAUCGGCUAACUCCGUGCCAGCAGCCGCGGUAAUACGGAGGAUGCGAGCGUUAUCCGGAUUUAUUGGGUUUAAAGGGUGCGUAGGCGGAAUAUCAAGUCAGCGGUAAAAAUUCGGGGCUCAACCCCGUCGUGCCGUUGAAACUGAUGUUCUUGAGUGGGCGAGAAGUAUGCGGAAUGCGUGGUGUAGCGGUGAAAUGCAUAGAUAUCACGCAGAACUCCGAUUGCGAAGGCAGCAUACCGGCGCCCAACUGACGCUGAAGCACGAAAGCGUGGGUAUCGAACAGGAUUAGAUACCCGUGUAGUC